Molecule: ribosomal RNA, 615 nt
Filed under: Chaetothyriales sp. AR-2010
Lineage: Eukaryota; Fungi; Ascomycota; Eurotiomycetes; Chaetothyriales
Description: eukaryotic LSU rRNA
Rfam family: 5.8S ribosomal RNA (bases 235-388)
Source: RNAcentral
GGAAGUAAAAGUCGUAACAAGGUCUCCGUUGGUGAACCAGCGGAGGGAUCAUUACAGAGUUAUCAAAACUCCCAAACCCAUGUGAACAUACCUCGCGUUGCCUCGGCAGGUGGCGCCCCGCCCUGUGAGGGCCUACCCUGUAGGAGCUCACCCGGUGGUCGCCCCUGCCGACGGCCCACGAAACUCUGUUUUUUUAUAGCAUUAGACCUCUGAAAAGAUAACUAAAUAAGUUAAAACUUUCAACAACGGAUCUCUUGGUUCUGGCAUCGAUGAAGAACGCAGCGAAAUGCGAUAAGUAAUGUGAAUUGCAGAAUUCAGUGAAUCAUCGAAUCUUUGAACGCACAUUGCGCCCACCAGUAUUCUGGUGGGCAUGCCUGUUCGAGCGUCAUUUCAACCCUUAAGCCCCUGUUGCUUAGCGUUGGGAGCCUACCGGAAACCGUCCGGUAGCUCCCCAAAGUCAGUGGCGGAGCCGGUUCGCACUCCAGACGUAGUAGCUUUUACACGUCGCCUGUAGCGCGGGCCGGUCCCCUGCCGUAAAAACCCCAAAUUCUUAUAGGUUGACCUCGGAUCAGGUAGGAAUACCCGCUGAACUUAAGCAUAUCAAUAAGCGGAGGA